This 6458-nucleotide long non-coding RNA is filed under the name Homo sapiens (human). RNAcentral's name for it is "HSALNT0346956". The record is from RNAcentral. Lineage: Eukaryota; Metazoa; Chordata; Mammalia; Primates; Hominidae.
UCUUCCUGUAAAGGGCCAGGUGGGAAGCACUCGUAGGCCCCGUGGUCUCUGUCGUGUCUGCUGAAGCCUGCCGUAGUAGCAUGGAAGCAGUCAGAGAUGACGUGUAAGCAAAUGGUCCCGACUGACCUCCGGUAAAGCAUUGAUUCCGGAAGCAUUUAACAGACCUAACAACCUUUCAAACCGCAUGGCGUUUCUUUCCCGGAUCCCGUUUCAGGAACGUUUCUGUUGGCUACAAGGACCGUCUCCAACAUGCUUAGGCUCUGUGAACUUUCCCAGGAUCCUGAGUAGGGUAUCCGCCAUUCGUCCUUAGGGCUCCGGGAUGUCUCGUUCUUACUGUGUCCCUGCCAACCCUGGUCCCAUCUCGUCAUGAUCACCCACUGCAGAAGAGAGGAGGUGCUAGAGUGAACAGGGUCAGGGGAGCCCCGUUCAUCCCCAGGGUCCCAGAAUGAACCAGUGUUACCAUGUACCCCUGCCCUUGCCUUCCUCCCUGCUCUAAUGGCCGUGUGUUAGCCGGAGAUCAGUUUGGGUCUGGGUGCUAUGGGUCUGUUGCGCCUGUGGCCUUGGUCCGGCCUCUGUCCUUGUCUCUGUGAAAUGAGAGUGACUGUGCCUGAGAGCGUUCCAGCAAGACAAUGAUGAUCUCCACUGUCUGAUUCCCGCUUCCCAGGUUCUCACAAUAGAUGAGGAUCCUGUUUUUCAGCCAGCUGCCGCAGAGGGGCUGGACAUUUCUCCCUUCAGACAGGACCAGGAAGGCCCGGAAGCAUCUGAGGAAGGGUGUCGCCAUGAGUAGAGAAAUCGAGGCUAUGGGCGGAAGUGGGAAGAAGCGAGAGAGGAAGACUCAUGGAAAGCCUUGCUGCGCUUGCCAAAAGAACUGCCCUCGGACUCAAGAGGGCCACGUUCAAUGCCAACCUGACAUAAGAAGAGCCAUGUGACCAGAUCCCUGGUUUGGCAGAGGAGACAUGCGAGAAGACGGAACGUUUUGGCCGAGGAGACAUCUGGCAGGGUGGAACGGAGGGAACAGGUGUGGCAGAGAGAAUAUCUGAGAAGCUCGCAGGAUUCCCAGAAGGAGCACUGGGAGUAGAUUGCCUGUUUUCCCGAAGGAACGGCAAGUUCCAAAGCUGUGCUGUGGGCAGUGUUUACUUCAUGUCUGCUUUGCUGGCGGGCCAAGUAGCAACAGCUGCAGUCGGCGUGUUCUCUGAAGGCAGCGUGUGAAGGGUGGAGGGGUUGCUCUUCUUCCCAGGUGUCUUUUGAAGAGGCAGUCAAGUCAGCAGCUCACAGUGGCCUUCUGGUAACAUCGUAUGGGCUGGGUUACAGCACAUGCCGACUGCUAAGCCAGUCACUGGGGAAAACCAUGUGAUUGCUGUGAUGAGCUUAGAAUGAUCAUUCCUCCUUCAGGAGCUGGGGUGGGUUGAGGGAACGAUAAAGAUCCUGAUAACCUUGCAUUUCUCCAGCGAGAAAGAAGAAAUUCCGUGGAUAGGGAGCCAGCCAGGUUUCCUGCAGAGAUUCACGGGAAGCUUUUGAGCAGGGGAGUCAGAAGAUGAGCGAUUCUCACAGUAGACGAGGAGCCUGUUUUUCAGCUAGCUGCUGCAAGGAGCUGGACAUUUCUCCCUUCAAAUAGGACCUGGAAGGCCUGGAAGCAUCUGGAGAAGGGCAUGGCUGUGAGUAGAGAAACAGAGGAUACAGGCUAAAGCAGGAGGAAGCGAGAGGACUCACGGAAAGCCUUGCUGCACUCUCCAAAAGAGCUGCCCUUUUCACGUGAAGAGCUAUGUGAUCGGAUCCCCGGUUUGGCAGAGUAGACAUGCGAGAAGACUGAACGUUUCAUCGUUGAAACCUCUUAAAGGUGGAAUGUGUGGCAGAAAGAACGUCUGAGAAGCUCACGCGAUUUGCAGAAGGAACAUUUGUAGAAGAUUCCCUGUUUUCCGAAGGAAUGUCAAGUUCCAAAGCCAUGCCGUGGGCAGUUUUUAGUUCAUGUGUGCUUUUCCGGUGGACUGAGUAGCAACAGCUGCAGUUGGCGUGUUGUCUGAAGGCAGUAUCUGAAGUGUGGAUGGGUUGGUCUUCUUCCCAGGUGUCUUUUCAACAGGCAGUCAAGUCUGCAGCUCAUAGUGACCUUCCGGAAACAUCAUAUGGUCUGUAUUACAGCACAUGCCUAUUGCUAAACCCAUCACUGGUGAAGGCCAUGUGAUUCCUGUGAUGUGCUUAGAAUGAUCAUUUCUCUUUCGAGACCUGAGUUAACAAGUGCAGGGUUUGACUCAGGGUGUCAUUUGUUGGCAGGCUUUCAGGGUAGUGUUUUUGCCUCUCCCCUGAUCCUUCCUUUGUGUGGGUCUCCCAGUGCCGUGGCCUGUCAGCCCAUGGGUUUUGGGUGUCACACGUGCAUGUGGUUCCUGGAGUCUUAGGCAUGUGCUCUUUUCUUACCCAUUGAGUGUUUUUAGAGGAAGGUUAUGGAGCUGCUAAACCCAGCCCUUCUGGCUGUUAAGUGUCCUGCAUGAGCCCACGCACCUGAUUCCUGGGAUUUUACUGGGAAGCUGCUGAUGUCCACCUUCCGGCUCUUUUGUUCUUUGGGAGGCUGCCCUUUUUUGGCACCGGCAGGCUGCGAAUGGUUUUCUUCCAUAGAAACAUUUCAACAACUGCCUGGCCGUCAUCUAAUGGUUGUCUGACAUUUCUCGUGGUGGUGGGGGAAGCCCCUCAUACCCUGCUUAUGUCAGACCAGUUACCUAGAGUGACUGGAAUGUCUGACAGGAUUGCACAUUUGGCAGAAGAACGUCCGAGAAGAUUCAGUGUUUGGCAGAAGAAACCUCUGUCAGACGUGAACGUGUGACAGAAGGGCCAUCCAGGAAGAUUGCACACUGGGCAGAAAGAAGACUUAAGAACAUUGCAUGGACAGCAGAAGGAGUGCUUCGGGAGAUUGCCUGGUGGGCGCCAGGAACACCUGAGAUGAUGUCAUGGCAAACAGUGGAAAUGAGAGGUUUACAUUUAAUGUCUUGUUUACAUAAGGUAGUAAACUCUGGAGCACUUGUGGUUAGGGGUGAAAACUCACCCUGGGUGAAGGAAGAAUCUUCCCUCUUCCCAGAGGGGCAAUGACUGGAAACGAGCAAGUAGGUGGGGUCUUUAAAGGGCCACAGUACUAGGCUCUAUCCUGACAGCUGUUCAGACUGCCCCAAAAGGCUUGUGAGAAGUUGUUGCUAGGGCAUAACAGGACAGUUAGAUUAAGAGUAGGAGUGAUAGCUUCUUCAACACUUUGGAGCAGGAAGGAAUGGAAGCAAGAUACAGUUGGAAGAGGGUGUAGUGGGUGACUUGAUGAAUCGAGUUCAUGGUAUUAUUUUUGACUUGGAUUCUCCUUCAUUGGCAUGCUUCUGAGUUGGCGUCAUUGCCUCUGCCCUGAUCCUUCCCUUGAGUGGGGCUGUUCACCAGUGCAGCGGCCAGUGAGCUCUUUGGGCGGGGUGUGUGGCAUACACAGUGCGAUGUCUGGAAUCUUACACGUGCUUACUUGAGGCAUUCUUACUCCACCGGUCGAGUGUUCUCAAAGAAAGAUGAUGGAGCUGCUAAACCUUGCCCAUUUUGAUCUGUUAUGUGAGACUUGCCUUUCGCCUUCUGUCAUGAUUGUGAAGUGUCCCCAGCCAUGUGGAACUGACACAUAUUGCUUGUCUCUGAACUUCUCAGCUGCCUGCAGAUCUUCCUGUUUUUCAGCUGCAGUUAGGGUUUGUCUGAGGAGAAGCAUAACAUCCCUCCAGGCUUACCCUGGUUGCUCAGUGAAGAAUAAAGUACAGGGAACAUGAGAGAAUACAUGGGAGAUCAAUCAAGAUGCUACUUCAGUAAUCCAUGACAAUGACAACGUAAAGUAAUGCAAGGUGCACGUGAUGGGUAUGGCCAAAUGCUCCACAAAUAAAUGUGUUGAAUGAAUGAACAAAUGAAUAAGCGAAGUGAAUGGAACAUCAAACUGCAUAAAAAUAUAUUUAUUCAUAAAUGAGAGGUGAUGAUUGCCAACAUAUCAUAAUCAGACUCUGACCUUGGUUACUUAUGAGUUUGACAACGAAGAGGAAAGAGGAUCAGAAUGGAUCUACAUUUGUCCUGUGUCAAUGGCUAUCCAGAAGCGGUAACUUUGCUGGUGCACAGAAAGUGCCAGCUUAACGUGUGUGACGGUGAAAACACGACACCUCUGAUGAAGAUAUAUAGUAGCCAGUUAUUUCAGCAUGAGAUGGAUUUGGUUUAAAUACAUAGAAUAAAAAUGGAUUUAUUUCAUUGAAAUGUAACUAAUUUGUGAACCUAUGGAAUAUUUAUUUGUAUUUUCUAGAAUUUACAAUGUGUUUCUUGGUCUAAUACUGACAGGCUAUACAAUGCCAAGAAGAUGUUUAUGCAACUAUUCUGCUGGACUUUGGUGCCUAUCCAGAUAUUACAGAUAUCAACAGAAAAACUGCUCUCCACUGUGCUGUCUAUAGUGAGAAUAUGUCAGUGGUGGCAAAACUGCUUUCACACAACACAAACAUCUAAGUGAAAAAUGGAGUAGAGAAUAACCAACAUUAUUUUCAAAAUAUUUGAAAUCCAUUUGCUUUAACACUGACAUGCGUUAGGGUCAGUUUUUCAUAUUUGGAAGCUCAAGCAUGCUCUUCUGUGAAUGAAAAUAUUCUGAAGUAACUGUCUAAUAAUUUAAAUAUUAAUGUUUUUAAAGAAGUAUUAGACGGUAUAGCUUUCUUUCAUGCAUUUAUGAUAAAUAUUUAAAUUUAUUAAAGGUAAAAGUUUGUUUUUCAAAUAUUUUAGCCACUCAAGUUUUUGUUCUUUCUAAUUAGUGUAAAACAACACAGAAAAGCAAAAUGUGCCUGCAUAAACUGAGUCAACAUGUAAACCUUUUGAUAUUUAUUAUUAAAUAAGUUAUUUGGCAAUGUAUCAAAUUUUUAAAUGUGUGUCCCUUUUGACCUAGAAAUUCUACUCCCAGGAAUUUCUCCUAAGAAGAUAAUCAGAAAAGUUUACAAAGAUGAAUAGAAAAGAAGAGUCACUGCAGCCUUAUUUGUAAAAGUGAAAAAUAGCAACAGCCCAAAUGUCAUGAAUGGAGAAUUAAUAUAUGGUGCAUCCAUACAAAAAUACUGUGCAGCGAGUAAGCCAAUGAAGCCCAAAAUUUCUGACAUGGACAUUGACAUAGCAGAGUGACAAUAACGAGGUUAUAAAACAUCAUCAGUGAAAGUUCCAAGUGUGAAAGCAAGGAUAAAUCAAGAUGCCUCUUGGCAUGAAACUUUACUGGACAACCUUGAAGUCAUGCCAGUACCCAGUCUGCUGAGACCAAUGCUCAAUAGACAUUUCAGCACAGGAAGCCUCUUAAAUCCCUUCAAAGGAAAAUGGGUGUCAUGAAAAUGUCAAGCCUGGCCUUCUCACUACUUACUCAAAAAGUACUUCCUAAGCGCCUACUUUGAGUCACAUCUGGGUCACAGGAAAGUGUGGUGGAAAGUCUGCACAUGGCCCAGAAAGCUCCUUCAGCUCCAACAUUCAGAACCUGCCUGCCUGCCUUCUGAGUAUCCCAAGGGCACUGUCUGACUCUUUCAUACCCACCAUUUGUCUCCCUGGACUUCUUGCUAAAUCCCUGUCUUCACUUCCUCACUUAGGGAAUUCAUGCCAGCUCUCUGACUUGAUCUAUGACCCUGCUCAUCACUGUAGGAGAAAAAAAAAAAAAUACAACCACCUUUCCAUGCUGUCAACUUAAUUAUCCCUCCCACAUUUAUCUCAUGCCUGAAAUGUAUUACCUAAAUGUUGAGUGUGCAGUUCAGGGUAAAACUGACCAACUGGAGCACAUCCAAAGAAGAGCAACCAUGGUAAAAAGAAGCUACAUCAUCAUGUCUGCUAAGGAAGGCUUGAAAUAACUAUGAAUUUUUAUUCUGGAGAAAACGAGACUAAACAAAACCAAUAAAAAUUACUCAAAAAAUAUGAAGCGUUGUUAUGAAGACAAAGGAAGAGGCACUUUCUAAAGAGACUCAAUGUAAACACUGGAAAACAUGGCAGCAUUUUCUUUAAACAGCAUUCAAUGAUGAAAUGGCUACUUGUGGUUCCAGAGGGCUCCCUGUCAUUGCGGGGUGGAGGACUAGAGUGUUUAAGAAGAGGCAAGAAGUGUAAUUUUUUUGUUCUUUAGUGUGGAGCACAGUGUGGGACACAAAGUAGGUUCUCAACAAUUUGAAAGAAUGAGUGGGUGAAAAUAUAAAUGCUCAGAAGAUAUAAAAACUCAGAAGACACUUUGAGAGGGAUAUUGUUUAAUCACUUUAUGCAUCUGAGAGGGAGCAUGACUAGAGGAUUUCUGAGGUCCCUGGGACUGGAAUUAUAUAACUCCAAGGCACUGCAACACCUCAAAGGCAAGACACAGUUCAGACAGAUCAUUUCUCUUAAUAAUCAGGCAUGGGACUAUUGCCCAGGAAUUUUAAAGACAUCUUAAACCUAGUUAUUACAUAUCACAAAACCUCUUGGAAUAAAUGAGUUUCUCACACUAA